RNAcentral lists this ribosomal RNA (497 nucleotides) under uncultured bacterium. RNAcentral describes it as "partial 16S ribosomal RNA". It matches the Rfam family "Bacterial small subunit ribosomal RNA", at positions 28 to 507 of the family's 1533-position model. The record is from RNAcentral.
GAUGAACGCUGGCGGCGUGCCUAAUACAUGCAAGUCGAGCGGACGGACGAGAAGCUUGCUUCUCUGAUGUUAGCGGCGGACGGGUGAGUAACACGUGGAUAACUUACCUAUAAGACUGGGAUAACUUCGGGAAACCGGAGCUAAUACCGGAUAAUAUUUUGAACCGCAUGGUUCAAAAGUGAAAGACGGUCUUGCUGUCACUUAUAGAUGGAUCCGCGCUGCAUUAGCUAGUUGGUAAGGUAACGGCUUACCAAGGCAACGAUGCAUAGCCGACCUGAGAGGGUGAUCGGCCACACUGGAACUGAGACACGGUCCAGACUCCUACGGGAGGCAGCAGUAGGGAAUCUUCCGCAAUGGGCGAAAGCCUGACGGAGCAACGCCGCGUGAGUGAUGAAGGUCUUCGGAUCGUAAAACUCUGUUAUUAGGGAAGAACAUAUGUGUAAGUAACUGUGCACAUCUUGACGGUACCUAAUCAGAAAGCCACGGCUAACUACGUG